AUUGAACGCUGGCGGCAUGCCUUACACAUGCAAGUCGAACGGCAGCACGGGAGCAAUCCUGGGUGGCGAGUGGCGAACGGGUGAGUAAUAUAUCGGAACGUGCCCAGUCGUGGGGGAUAACGUAGCGAAAGCUACGCUAAUACCGCAUACGAUCUAUGGAUGAAAGCGGGGGAUCGCAAGACCUCGCGCGAUUGGAGCGGCCGAUAUCAGAUUAGGUAGUUGGUGAGGUAAAGGCUCACCAAGCCGACGAUCUGUAGCUGGUCUGAGAGGACGACCAGCCACACUGGGACUGAGACACGGCCCAGACUCCUACGGGAGGCAGCAGUGGGGAAUUUUGGACAAUGGGCGCAAGCCUGAUCCAGCAAUGCCGCGUGCAGGAUGAAGGCCUUCGGGUUGUAAACUGCUUUGUACGGAACGAAACGGUAAGCUCUAAUACAGUUUGCUAAUGACGGUACCGUAAGAAUAAGCACCGGCUAACUACGUG
This 484-nucleotide ribosomal RNA is filed under the name uncultured bacterium. RNAcentral's name for it is "bacterial SSU rRNA". It matches the Rfam family "Bacterial small subunit ribosomal RNA", at positions 30 to 507 of the family's 1533-position model. The record is from RNAcentral.